This 275-nucleotide unclassified non-coding RNA is filed under the name plant metagenome. Its description in RNAcentral is "partial contains small subunit ribosomal RNA, internal transcribed spacer 1, and 5.8S ribosomal RNA". The record is from RNAcentral.
UUUCCGUAGGUGAACCUGCGGAAGGAUCAUUAUCGUACAAAAUGUGUGAGGCAUGCAAGGGUUGUCGCUGGCUUUCAACGUUGUUGCACGCCGGAGCGUGUCCUCUCACAUAACACAAUCCAUCUCACCCUUUGUGCACCACCGCGUGGGCACCCUUUGGGAUCGGACCGAUCUCUUAGGGGACUCGCGUUUUCACACAACACCCUUUUAAAAAGUGUAGAAUGACCUCAUUUAUGCGAUCAAUACAACUUUCAACAACGGAUCUCUUGGCUCUC